GACCUAAACCAAGCGAGAGUUCGCAAGGCAUGGCCCAAAGACAGGUAGUGCAUAGAGAACCCUCACGGGGUUGCAUUACCUGCCAUAUCGAGAAAUCGGUAUGUCCGCUUCGGCGGA
RNAcentral lists this small RNA (117 nucleotides) under unclassified sequences. RNAcentral's name for it is "LOOT RNA". It matches the Rfam family "LOOT RNA". From Rfam's summary of the family: Latescibacteria, OD1/Parcubacteria, OP11, TM7. Lineage (Microgenomates, aka OP11) The record is from Rfam by way of RNAcentral.